RNAcentral lists this unclassified non-coding RNA (2364 nucleotides) under Acyrthosiphon pisum (pea aphid). Its description in RNAcentral is "uncharacterized LOC100572014, transcript variant X6". Lineage: Eukaryota; Metazoa; Arthropoda; Insecta; Hemiptera; Aphididae. The record is from RNAcentral.
UUAUGGUAAAUGUAAUAAUAUGAUGAUCGAACGGAUAUAUGAUUUAUCUUCAUUCUUCAGACUUCAGAGACAUCAGACAUUUUACUGUUUUUUUUAUUAAGUUUUGUCAUUUUUUACUUUUUAGUAACAAUUAUUAACGAUGGUACAGAUUGUGGGAGAAUGGCAGAUGAUAUUAUUAUGUAUUAUGGUAAUAAUAUCAGCUCAAGUUGUAUGAUGUCAAUUUGUAGUAAAUAGUAGUACAAUUUAGUCGUGAUGCUAUAAGAAACGCUGCAAAUAUAAUAUCCAUGGGUCUGAAUCUAAUUAAAUUUUUUGUAACCAAGAGCUUUGGCUAACAGAGCCGGCAGGCGUAUGGAGCGAUUAUACUUGUCACACCAUAAGACUACUAAUUAAAAAACAAACAAUUAAGAAGAUAUAAUUCAAUAUGAAACCAUUCAGAAAAACUAUUGAUGAUUGUGCGAUCAAUUCCAAUUCUAGAGUUCAAGAAUUUAAUGAAAAUAUUAAAAAGAAAAUUAUUGAUGAUCAUGUAUUUAACGGCAUUAUUAAAGAGGAAAUUAUUACUGAUGAAACAGACCUCAGCAAUGAUAGUGAAUUAUUGCAUCUAAGUUCUGGAGUGUUGCCUCUCUCACUUGAUGGUUGUUGUGUUCAAGAAUUUAAUGAAAAUAUUAAAAAGAAAAUUAUUGAUGAUCAAUUAUUUAAUGGCAUUAUUAAAAAGGAAAUUAUUGAUGAUCAAGUAUUUAAUGGCAUUAUUAAAGAGGAAAUUGCUGAUAAAACAAACUACAACAGUGACAAUCAACUAUUACAAAAUAUAUGGGGAGCAUGGUUGUCCCGAGAAAAACAGUUUUUGUUGUGCAUUUGUAAAAUAGAGACAACGCAUGCGGGCGUCCUCUUAAAUCAAAACUUCUAUCACGCAACUCAAAUACACUAUUUUACCACAGCUAUUUACGACCAAUAGUCACAUACGCGAGCGAAACUUGGUCACUGAUCAAAGAAGAUAGCGAACGUCUAGAAGACCAAGGACCUUAUGGGUGGAUGUCGAACCAGAUGAGUCUACGAUUAAUGAUUUUUUCAAGUAGCUUGCUCGAAAUAGUGUGCUGACUAGAGUGAUUGGGUGAUAGCCUUCAGGGAGAUGUUUAUUCUUAUUGGGCUUGAGGAUCAGGAUAACAAACCCAUGUCUUCAGUAUUUAGGGAAUACGUUAUUAAAGUGUUGAAAAUUUCGAGUAAGUUGUAACGAGACGAAAUGAUAUAUUCCUUCGAAUAGCGUGCACUUAUACCAUAUCCGUAAUAAAAUUCGUGGACGGAGCGCCACCCGCUGACUACUAUGUAACUAAUACAUGCGUUGUUCUCAACGCUACAUACAUGAAAACCACACUAGAUGUCGCCGUACGCGCCAGCUUCAUUGCACGUUGCGUACCAGCGACAUUUAAUUACAAAAAACUACGACUUAUAAGUUAAAUUAUUAACUUAUAAGUAAAACAGCAUCUUCGGAUUCGAUCAACAACACCAUAUGACAAUCCUCCGAAAAUAUACCAUCAAAUACCACCAAAACGCAACACCCAGAAGUCCAUAUUCUCGAAAACCAAAGCCGCCGGAGUAUAUGAUAAAUUGACCCCGACGAGCAGGCAAUAGUAAAUAUUGUAGUUUUCCGUCCUAUAGCUUAGUCGUGUCUGGUGUUCACCGUUCAAACGGGAGUACAAACAGCACGACAAUCCUCGUUACCGUCGCCGCCGCCGAACGCAGUUUCCGCCGCCGCCUACCACUUGCCGUGUCUGGUGUUCACCGUCCAACGGGAGCACAAACAGCACGACAAUCCUCGUUACCGUCGCCGCCGCCGAACGUAGUUUCCGCCGCCGCCUACCACUUGCCGUGUCUGGUGUUUCACCAUAUACUCGGGAGCACAGACAGCGCGGCAAGUAUCGUCCCAUCGCAACCGCCGAUCGAGCUGCCAUGUUGCAUUGCAAUUUCGUAACUGUAACAAACCGCCGAUCGAGCCGCCGUGUUGCAUUGCCGUUUCGGGAUUUUGAUACCGCCGAUCGAGUUUCAGUUGUGCACUGACGACUUGUAGUUUUUUUCGCACGUUCGCUCGAAUAUUAACAUUGUUGAUAACGCAGUGCGUUAUCAACAAUUUUACCUACUCUACUAACACACGUUAUUUUCACGUCAUCCAAGUAUUAAUAUUAUAUAAUAUUUCUAUUGUGCGACUGCCGACCAUUCGUCAUUAUCGUCAUCGCAGGAUAAACUCGGUUAAACUACACGCAACAUCUGAGUCAGUCACCAACAGUUACCAGGCAACGUCCGUGAGUCCAUUCCAAUCAUUUUAAUAUUGUAAAAUCAAUCCUUGUUAUACGUAUUUUUAAUUGUACAUUG